GUAAGUACAAAAUAUAAUGUUGACUUUGCAAACAGAUCGUGUUCGAACGGAGAAACAAGACGACGCGUUAAAUGGAAGUAACAAAUCGCAGAGAGUCAGGACUUUUGGCACAAUUAUAUACGCAAGCCCGAAUAAAGGUUGACGGUCACAACUAACGUGUAUACAAGCCGAGAAAUCUGGUUUCUUCAUAUGAUUGCACGAGUCGGUUAACAACGAUUUUGGAGUUUUCAGUUGUUUGGGCCACGAUCCGCGAGAUAGUUGAGCGAGGAGAGGAAACUGGAACAAGUCCACACGCAGGCGCCUAGCAUUCGCACACACUGUAUUAUUAAUAUAAUUAUUAUUAUUAUAGACUUGUAGCGCAACUAUAUAAUAUCGACUAAGUGCGAACUCGGCUUUCGUGGGACAUUUGUCAGCCCGUCAGAGUGAUAAGAUUGCACUCGUCUUGACUGGCGCUCGGGACGCGGAUAGAUUAUAAUAUUAUAUUACACUCUUUACGAGAAAUAUCUCACAUCAUCAAGUUAUCAACGCGAUUUAUAAACCGUAGACCUAUUAAACGAAAUCAGUGUCUUGUGCUUGAAAUGCCUUUGGCGCCAUUCAAAGUCUCGCGUAGUACGCGUCUCUUAUGCGGAAUGAUAAAUACCGAUAAUAUUAAUUUUCUCCUCGAGUUCCCGUUUCGGCAUUAUCGCUGCCGCCGGCACAGGGUUGAUGUAUUAUACAUGUGCGAGUGUGAUAAAUGUAUACGCGUGGUCCGUGCAUUUAAUUAUAAAUAACUGUAAAUCUGCUGUAGAUUGGUAAUGGCCGAGAGGUUUUGUCGCGACAAUAAUCUUAAAACGCGAUUCGCUCGGUAAAUAUGAUAACGGUGUGAUGUCGCGCUGUCGGUGCA
Long non-coding RNA from Metopolophium dirhodum (rose-grain aphid), 883 nucleotides. RefSeq lists it as uncharacterized. The transcript has 3 exons. The record is from RefSeq and is a predicted model, not a curated record. NCBI's taxonomy places the organism in Eukaryota, Metazoa, Arthropoda, Insecta, Hemiptera, Aphididae.